This 506-nucleotide long non-coding RNA is filed under the name Elaeis guineensis (African oil palm). RNAcentral's name for it is "long non-coding RNA (EGUI_LNC052308)". The record is from RNAcentral. Lineage: Eukaryota; Viridiplantae; Streptophyta; Magnoliopsida; Arecales; Arecaceae.
AUCAAAAGUGGCUCAAUGACUGUACAAUAGUACGUUGCAUAAUGAGAGCUCUAUGAUUGAUGAAUUUAAUUGUAAAUUCAUCAAUGCUCAGCCAAACGAAAUCCUUCAAAGGUUGAACAAGUCCUUUGGCACACUUGAGGAUUUAUCCUCAACAUGGCAUCGAUCCUCUAAGAGAAAAGAAAAGGAUGGUGCAGAGGUAUUGUGCUAGGGCUUCUAAGCCCAAUCGAAUUAACCAGUUUAAAGCAAAUCAAAGUUAGGUAGAAUGCUUCUUUUGCAAGAAGAUGAAGCAUUGGAAGAGAAAUUAUUCUCUAUAUCUAGCUUCCCUUAAUUCGAACAGCCCAUGUAAGAGAAAUCAGUAAGAGGUUACUGGACAAGGUACUUAUAUGAUAACACCUUAUAGUUUUUCUAUUUGUGAUACUACUAUCUGGGUAUUGGAUACUGAAAGUCUGAUUCAUAUCUAUAAUUCAUUGUAGGGACUUUAGUUUAGUAGAAAAUUUGAGAAGAGA